UCUCGUGAUUCCAUGGCUAGGCAAGGUGGUUCCUCACUGCUCCGCCUUGAGUCAUUCAGGUGGCUGCCUUGUGCUAGAGGUCAGCUGGAAUGUCAAAGAUGGCAGUUGCUGCUUGCUGUCAGUUAGGUCACUCAGGUCACCAUGUGACCUUUACUUCUUCAGUAGGCUAGACUGGCUUUCUUACCUGGAAGUGUCAGGGCAGUAUUCCAAGAUCACAAAGGCAGAAGCUGCAAGACCUCUUAAGGUCUGGACACCUGAACUCACACAUCACUUCUGCUACGUUCUAAGUCACAAGGCCAGCCCAUCUGCAAAGGAGCAGAAAAAUAAACUCCACCUCUGGAAGGGAGAAGCAGCAAAAUCAUAUUGCAAAGAGGCAUGCUUCCUGGGAUGGGAGGAAUUUGAGGUCAUUAACCAUCUACCACACAAGAUGUACAAAGGAAAUGAGGCGGUGAAGGAAAGAGUUCUGCAUGCUGUGUUAUUUUCUGAGAAGACAGAGAUUGUGGAGAAAGGAAUCACAAUUUAGCCAGUGUACUAGCGAACACUGAAGCAGGGCGUCAGGCUGCAGGUCCUUCAGUGGCACCUCCUCCCCCAUGCAUCAAAUUUUCUGUGCCCAUCACGCAGCUGAUGUGUGGACAACAGUCCCCCUGGGCAGUCAAUUGGAAGCCAAAGCUGUGAAUUAUAACCGUAGCCUAAUUAGUGCUCUGCCGUUGGACCUACUGAAUAUCAGAUACCAAGACUAAAGGAACCCUCCCUCCAAGAGUCCCGGCAACCUAUCUCAUGACUUAUUCAGCAGGUGCCUCCAUCUUGGCUUUCGAUUGUAUGACUUUGGAGAGACUCUUGGGUUCUGCUGUGGAGGUGAAUUUGCUGCAGCUGGUGCCUCCAAUUUGCCUGCAUUGUUGACGCUGUCCAGAUGGCUCAUGAGGGAGAAGACCUCCAAUCUGUUCUUGAGAUGGGUUCACAUAUUAGGAAGGAAUGAAAAUUAUCCAGCAUGGGAAGCCAGGAGCAGAGCAAGUCAGACUGAGGAGCUGUUUGUUUUUAACUCACAGGUUCCUGUUUCCUACCUGAGGACCUUGCUUUGGGAAGCAGUUCAGAAAUGGUUGAGCGGUUCUGAGCUCCCGAAAUAAGAAACCCUCUCCCAGCUCAGGUGCAAGUGACUAGCAGCCAGAUUUUUUGUUGCUCUUGUUUAAUUCCUCUUCGCCAUUUGGGGCCCUGCCUUCCUUCUCCAUCUCACCGUUGCCUGGGUCUGUACACAAACAGAAAACUUCCAUCACAAUACAGAAGAAAAGAUAUGAGGAAACUCCUAGAAGGUACUUCAGUUUUUCAACUAAAGGAAACUUUGCAUCAGGCAUUCUCCACGGCACCUCUCAACAAACUCCCGCCAGCUGAAAGUGGAUGUGUCUGGCCUUCAGGCUGAAGCAGAGCCCUGUGUCUGUGGCAGGUCACCGCAUCUUUCAGGCUGCCAUUAGCGACCUGCGUUCCAGAGAGAUGGAAUAAGCCAUCUGAGUCACCUGAGCCCCAGCUGUUUCUGAAAAUCGUGCUCAGUGACAUACCAGAAGGACGGGUACCUUGAACUUGGAAGGAAACCUUUAUUUCACUACUACUACAAUCCUCAGAAAUGCUGCUCUUGUGAAGAGCCAAAGCUGCCAGCACCUUAUGUUACUAUUUGUGUUUAUGUGGAGUUUUGCUGAAGUGCAGUCUUUGGUUUCCACUAUGAGCGCUCCCAGAGCAUCCUGUCCACAGGACGGGAAAGCGCCCAAUUGCGAAUUGGGAGCCAAAAGUGACUACAAUUCCCAGAAGCACCUGCCGGACACGCUGGAACCACCUGCAGGAACCACUGGAAUCACCCAUCGGACACGACGGAACCACCUGACUCAUGGGCCAGAAGCACCAUCCGGACACACCAGGACCACCUGACUGACACGCCAGAACAUAUUUAAUUGAGAACUUUCAUCUUUUCACUUAAAGGAAGCACUUCACGGCUUCUCUUUGGCGUAUCUGAACUGCCCUCAUCACUACACUUGCACUUUCGGGCCAUUAUUAAGGAAAAUAAUGGUGACUUGGACACAAGCACUGCCUACUGCGACAGUUGAUCUGAUAACAGAGACGGCUACUAAGCGACUGAAAGGAAUAUCAACUGGAGCACAAUCUAGAAUCACACCAGGAGUAUGUGCAGGUUUCUGACAAAGGAGUUUUGAAG
This 2197-nucleotide long non-coding RNA is filed under the name Equus caballus (horse). RNAcentral describes it as "lncRNA (ENSECAG00000048954.1)". The record is from RNAcentral. Lineage: Eukaryota; Metazoa; Chordata; Mammalia; Perissodactyla; Equidae.